GGGUGCGAUCAUACCAGCACUAAUGCACCGGAUCCCAUCAGUACUCCAAAGUUAAACGUGCUUUUGCCAGAGUAGUACUAAGAUGGGUGACCUCUUGGGAAGUCCUCAUGUUGCACCCC
Non-coding RNA from Ricinus communis (castor bean), 119 nucleotides. Lineage: Eukaryota; Viridiplantae; Streptophyta; Magnoliopsida; Malpighiales; Euphorbiaceae. The record is from Rfam.